CGGCUCGGGUCUUGGCACGGCCCCCGGGAUGUGACGCUCUCCUCGGGGUGAGUCCGCUUUGACCCGCCCCCUGCCACUGCUCUGACUCUGGGCUCUGCGGAGACUUUUCGAUUGGCUGCACAGAAGUCCUCCACGCUAACCACUGUAUCCUGACGAUCGAUUCAUCAUUAUUAUCCGCAGUCAGAAGCUUCAUGUGCAGCGAGAUUGCAUCGUCCUGUACAAGUAG
Molecule: long non-coding RNA, 226 nt
Filed under: Neogobius melanostomus (round goby)
Lineage: Eukaryota; Metazoa; Chordata; Actinopteri; Gobiiformes; Gobiidae
Description: lncRNA (ENSNMLG00000022580.1)
Source: RNAcentral